AGUGAACGCUGGCGGCAGGCCUAAUACAUGCAAGUCGAACGGCAGCACAGCAGAGCUUGCUCUGUGGGUGGCGAGUGGCGGACGGGUGAGGAAUACAUGGGAAUCUGCCCAGUCGUGGGGGAUAACGUAUGGAAACGUACGCUAAUACCGCAUGCGCCCUAUGGGGGAAAGCCGGGGACCGCAAGGCCUGGCGCGAUUGGAUGAGCCCAUGUUCGAUUAGCUAGUUGGCGGGGUAAAGGCCCACCAAGGCGACGAUCGAUAGCUGGUCUGAGAGGAUGAUCAGCCACACUGGAACUGAGACACGGUCCAGACUCCUACGGGAGGCAGCAGUAGGGAAUAUUGGACAAUGGGGGCAACCCUGAUCCAGCCAUGCCGCGUGAGUGAAGAAGGCCCUCGGGUUGUAAAGCUCUUUUGUCCGGAAAGAAAAGCAAUCGGUUAAUACCCGGUUGUCCUGACGGUACCGGAAGAAUAAGCACCGGCUAACUUCGUGCC
This 492-nucleotide ribosomal RNA is filed under the name uncultured bacterium. Its description in RNAcentral is "bacterial SSU rRNA". It matches the Rfam family "Bacterial small subunit ribosomal RNA", at positions 29 to 509 of the family's 1533-position model. The record is from RNAcentral.